CUACGGGCCGCUCCAGUGGGGAAUAUUGGACGAUGGGCGCAAGCCUGAUCCAGCAAUGCCGCGUGAGUGAAGACGGCCUUAGGGUUGUAAAACUCUUUCGCUAGGGAAGAUAAUGACUGUACCUAGUAAAGAAGUCCCGGCUAACUCCGUGCCAGCAGCCGCGGUAAUACGGAGGGGACUAGCGUUGUUCGGAAUUACUGGGCGUAAAGAGUUCGUAGGCGGACUGACAAGUUAGAGGUGAAAUCCCAGGGCUCAACCCUGGAACUGCCUUUAAAACUGUCAGUCUAGAGACCGGAAGAGGUUAGGGGAAUACCUAGUGUAGAGGUGAAAUUCGUAGAUAUUAGGUGGAACACCAGUGGCGAAGGCGCCUAACUGGUCCGGUACUGACGCUGAGGAACGAAAGCGUGGGGAGCAAACAGGAUUAGAUACCCCGGUAGUC
Molecule: ribosomal RNA, 439 nt
Filed under: uncultured bacterium
Lineage: Bacteria
Description: partial 16S ribosomal RNA
Rfam family: Bacterial small subunit ribosomal RNA
Source: RNAcentral